RNAcentral lists this long non-coding RNA (6959 nucleotides) under Sus scrofa (pig). RNAcentral's name for it is "lncRNA (ENSSSCG00035021044.1)". Lineage: Eukaryota; Metazoa; Chordata; Mammalia; Artiodactyla; Suidae. The record is from RNAcentral.
GUCACUGAGCCGCGCCAGCGGAGCCGGGUACAGCCCCGCUCCUCUCGCCCGCCUUCUCUGGGGCUUGCUUCUUCACCAGGCAUCCGUCGAGCCUUUUCCAUGUCCCCGGUGGACGCAGCCCUUCGCAACGUCCACUCCCAUGGCCGCUAGCCUGAGGAGGCCGUCUUUCACCGCCUGUUCUUCCUCCCCUCCGGACGCGGACGACGAGGGUGUGCGCGGCUCUUGCGGAGAUGCUUCUGUGUGCAAGCGGUACCUGCCCGGCGUGGGGUUAGGGGCCGGCUUCCCCUGGGUGCUGGGGCCUAGGUGAGAGGCGGGCCUGUGUCUGAGGAGUGCGCUUUUACCCAAAAGCGCAAGCCUGGGGAUACCUUGACUGAGAUAAGGCACUGAACAAGGUAGACGCGGACUUGGCAUGGACACACACUUGAAGCAAAUCAUAACUGCGGCCUUGAUGGGGUCCGGAGGAGAAAUGCAGAUGUGCAGUGAGCAGUGGCUACUGGCAGGACCCUUGCAUCCCGCAUUUGGUGAGACUGUCUAAAGAGAGGAAGGCCCCCAAAAUUAACAGAGGAUAUUUUGCUUGUGUCCACGGCGUCAGUCAGCUUAUCAAGACGUUUCUAUGGAAGACAGGAUGCAACUGUCAAAUUCUAAACCUUGGGGCUGGGGGGGAUACCACCUUCUGGAGCUUAAAGGAUGAGGAUCUUCUAUCAAGUACAUCUUGGAAAGUCGAUGUUUCAGGGAUCGUCAUGAGGAAGCUGCACAGCAUCAAGUAAGUGCGGCUUUGGCCGGAAGCCAGAGCCCAGUGGCAUCAGAACCAGCUCCUGGCAGACGGCAGGGCUGACUGCCGGAGACCUCACUGUAGGCACUGCCUUCCUUUCCUGGCCUCCUCCCUCUCUCCCUGGCCCUGGACCCUCACUGCAGUGUGUCCUGCAGUCUUCAAAAUGAAAUAGACCCUCUCCUGUGACCUUUCUGUCCAAGAAUGUGAUUUCUCUAACAUUGAAACAAAUGAUCUAUUGUCGUUUAGUGAUCUGAAUUUUCAUGUGUAUUUGGCUUAUGUCUUCACCCCCAGGAUACAGAAAAGUGCCUGGCUCAGACUAGAUGUGUUGUAAAUAUUUUUGAAUGAACCCAUGGGGGGCUGAGCUGAAUCAGUGAUCAUAUCUGAGAUAUUGGGGGGAUUUGCAUUCUGAGUCUAGUCUUCAUGGAAUUUGUCAAGCUCUAAGUGAUGAGGUUGCUGCUCUUUGCCAAGAGCUUUCCUUUGCCAAGUCCCAUGGUACAUGCCUCAUUUGCAUUGUUUCAUUCAGUCCUCGGAGGCCACUCCUGGAUGAAGUGCUGUCAUUAGCCCCUUUUGACAGAUGAGAAACCUUAGGCUCAAAGAAGUGCAGUGAAUUUGCCUCCGGUCACCUGGCUAGAAAGAGGAUGGAGCAGGGAUUUAAACGCUGACCUCCAGACCAAGGUUAAGGUAUCCCAAUGGUUUUAACCUACAGUCCCUCCCUCCUUUUUAUAUUAGUCAUGUCAAUCAAGUCCUAAUUCUUAUAUUUCACAAAAAUUUUUAUUUAUUUAUUUUUCUGCUGUACAGCAUGGGGGACAAGAUACACUUACAUGAAUGUUUUUUUUCUCCACCCUUUGUUAUGUUACAAUAUGAGUAUCUAGACAUAGUUCUCAUGCUACUCAGCAGGAUCUCAUUGUAAAUCCAUUCCAAGUUGUAUCUGAUAACCCCAAGCUCCCGAUCCCUCCCACUCCCUCCCUCACCCCCCGGGCUGCCACAAGUCUAUUCUCCAGGUCCAUGAUUUUCUUUUCUGUGGAAAUGUUCAUUUCUGCUGUAUAUUAGAUUCCAGUUACAAGUGAAAUCAUAUAAUAUUUGUCUUUGUCUUUAUGGCUCAUUUCACUCAGUAUGAGAGUCUCUAGUUCCACCCAUGUUGCUAUAAAUGGUAUUAUGUCAAUCUUUUUUAUGGCUGAGUAGCAUUCCAUUGUGUAUAUAUACCACAUCUUCCUAAUCCAAUCAUCUGUCAAUGGACAUUGGGUUGUUUCCAUGUCCUGGCUAUUGUGAAUAGUGCUGCAAUGAACAUGCGGGUGCAUGUGUCUCUUUUAAGUAGAGUUUUGUCUGGAUGUAUGCUCAAGAGUGGGAUUGAAGGAUCAUAUGGAAGUUCUAUGUAUACAUUUCUAAGGUGUCUCCAAACUGUUCUCCAUAGUGACUGUACCAGUUUAUAUCCCCACCAGCAGUGCAGGAGGGUUCCCUUUUCUGCACAACCCCUCUAGCACUUGUUAUUUGUGGACUUAUUAAUGAUGGCCAUUCUGACUGGUGUGAGGUGGUAUCUCAUGGUAGUUUUGAUUUGCAUUUCUCUUAUAAUCAGAGAUGUUGAACAUUUUUGCAUGUGCUUGUUGGCCAUCUGUAUAUCUUCCUUGGAGAAAUGUCUAUUCAGCUCUUUUGCCCAUUUUUUCCAUUGUGUGAUUGGCUUUUUUGCUGUUGAGUUGUAUAAGUUGCUUGUAUAUUCUAGAGAUUAAGCCCUUGUCCAUUGCAUCAUUUGAAACUAUUUUCUCCCAUUCUGUAAGUUGUCUUUUUGUUUUCUUUUGGGUUUCCUUUGCUGUGCAAAAGCUUUUCAGUUUGAUGAGGUCCCAUGGGUUUAUUUUUGCUCUAAUUUCUAUUGCUUUGGGAGACUGACCUGAGAAAAUAUUCAUGAUGUUGAUGUCAGAGAGUGUUUUGCCUAUGUUUUCUUCUAGGAGUUUGAUGGUGUCCUGUCGUAUAUUUAAGUCUUUCAGCCAUUUGGAGUUUAUUUUUGUGCAUGGUGUGAGGGUGUGUUCUAGUUUCAUUGCUUUGCAUGCAGCUGUCCAGGUUUCCCAGCAAUGCUUGCUGAAUAGACUUUCUUUUUCCCAUUUUAUGUUCUUGCCUCCCUUGUCAAAGAUUAAUUGACCAUAGGUGUCAGGGUUUAUUUCCGGAUUCUCUAUUCUGUUCCAUUGGUCUGUCUGUCUGUUUUGAUACCAGUACCACACUGUUUUGAUGACUGUGGCUUUGUAGUAUUUCUUGAAGUCUGGGAGAGUUAUGCCUCCUGCUUGGUUUUUGUUUCUCAGGAUUGCUUUGGCGAUUCUGGGUCUUUUGUGGUUCCAUAUAAAUGUUUGGAUUGUUUGUUCUAGUUCUGUGAAAAAUGUCAUGGGUAAUUUGAUAGGGAUUGCAUUGAAUCUGUAGAUUGCUUUGGGUAGUAUGGCCAUUUUUACAAUAUUGAUUUUCCCAAUCCAGGAACAUGGAAUAUCUUUCCAUUUCUUUACAUCUUCUUUGAUUUCUUUGAUUAAAGUUUUAUAGUUCUCGGCAUAUAGGUCCUUUACCUCCUUGGUCAGGUGUAUUCCAAGGUAUUUGAUUUUGUGAGGUGCAAUUUUAAAAGGUAUCGUAUUUUUGUAUUCCUUUUCUAAUAUUUCAUUGCUGGUAUACAGAAAUGUGACUGACUUCUGAAUGUUAAUCUUAUAUCCUGCUACUUUGCUGAAUUUAUUAAUCAGUUCAAGUAGUUUUGGGGUUGAGUCCUUAGGGUUUUCUGUGUUUAGUAUCAUGUCAUCUGCAUACAGUGACAGUUUUCUCUCUUCUCUUCCUCUUUGUAUCCUUUUAUUUCUUUUGUUUGUUUAAUCACUGUGGCUAGGACUUCCAAAACUAUGUUGAACAGCAGUGAUGGGAGUGGGCAUCCCUGUCUUGUUCCAGAUUUGAGUGAGAAGACUUUCAGUUUUUCUCCAUUGAGUAUUAUAUUUGCUGUGGGUUUGUCAUAAAUGGCUUUGAUCAUGUUCAGGAAUGUUCCCUCUAUACCCACUUUGGCAAGAGUCUUGAUCAUGAAUGGAUGUUGGACUUUGUCACAUGCUUUUUCUGCAUCUGUUGAGAUGAUCAUACGAUUUUUGACUUUUUUUUUUGUUAAUGUGGAGUAUGACGUUUAUUGAUUUGGAUAUGUUGACCCAUCCUUGUGAACCUGGGAUGAACCCCACCUGGUCAUUUUGUAUGAUCCUUUUGAUAUGUUGUUGGAUUUGGUUGGCUAAGAUUUUGUUGAGAAUUUUUGCAUCUAUAUUCAUCAAAGAUACUGGCUUCUAGUUUACUUUUUUGGCGGUAUCUUUUUCUGGUUUUGGAACUAGGGUGAUGGUGGCAUCAUAGAAUGUCUUUGGGAGUGUUCUUCUUCAUCCUUUUGAAAAAGGUUAAGGAGGAUGGGCACCAGAUCCUCUUUGUAUCUUUGGUAGAAUUCACCUGUGUAGCCAUCUGGUCCUGGGGUUUUAUUUGUAGGGAGUGUUUUUAUGAUGUAUUCAAUUUCAUUUCUGUUCAGUUGGUCUGUUUCUUCUUGAUUUACUUUUGGAAGGCUAUAAGAUUCUAGAAAGUUGUCCAUUUUUUCCAGAUUGUCAAAUUUGUUGGCAUAUAGUUGUUCAUAGUAUUCUGGUUUUUUUUUGUUUGUUUGUUUGUUUGUUUGUUUUUUGUAUUUCUUCAGUAUCCAUUGUGAUUUCUCCUUUUUCAUUUCCAAUUUUAUUUGGGUUCUUUCUCUCCUUUUCUUAGUGAGUCUACCAGGGGGUUGUCAAUUUUGUUUACCUUUUCAAAGAACCAGCUCUUGGUUUUAUUAACUUUAUUGUUUUUUGAAUCUCUAUUUUAUUGAUUUCCUCUUUGAUCUUUAUAAUUUCCUUCCUUCGGCUGACUUUAGGUCUUUUUUGUUCUUCUUUUUCUAAUUUGUUUAGGUGGAGGGUUAAGUUGUCAAUUUGAGAUCUUCUUUUUUGAGGAAGGCGUGUAUUGCUAUGAAUUUCCCUCUGAGCACUGCUUUUGCAGUGUCCCAUAGAUUUUGAGAGGUUGUGUCUUCAUUAUGAUUUGUCUCCAGGUAUUUUUAAAUUUCCUUCUCGACUCUCUCAUCCACCCAUUGGUUUUUUAGUAGCAUGUUGUUUAGUCCCCAUGUAGUAGGUUUUUUCUCAUUUCUUUUCCUGUGGUUGAUUUCUAGUUUCAUGCCAUUGUGGUCGGAGGAGAUACUUGAAAUAACUUCUGUGCUUCUAAAUUUGUUGAGGUUAGCUUUGUGUCCCAAUAUGUGGUUGACUCUUGAGAAUGUUCCAUGUGCACUUGAGAAGAAUGUGUAUUCUGAUUUUUUUGGAUGUAGUGUCCUGAAGAUGUCAAUUAAGUCUAUCUUUUCUAUUGUUUCCUUUAAGAUUUCUGUUGCUUUUUGGUUUUCUGUCUAGAGGAUCUGUCCAUUGAUGUGAGCAGGGUACUAAAGUCUCCUACUAUGAUUGUAUUCCCAUCAGUUUCUCCCUUUAUGUCUGUUAAUAUUUGUUGUAUGUAUUGGAAACUCUCUAAAUGCUUCUCCUGAGUAGAAGAGAGAAACCAGUUAUAGUUUAUUCAGAUAAUGGAAUACUAUACAGCAAUGAGGUUUUACAAACUUGGUAUGAAACCAGAUUGAUAAAUCUCAAAAAUACAGUGUUGAGUGAAAGAAGUCAAAUACAAAGAAAGCAUAUUCUUCACAAAGCCAUUACCUAAAGUUCCAAGACAGGCAGAACAAAUUUGUGUUGACUGAAUCCAGGAUUGUUGUCUUCCUUGGGAGAUAUUAACUAGUAGGAGACCUAAUUUAGGGUCUUUUGAGGUGUAUUGAUGUUAAUCUUUGCAUCUGUGUUCUGAUGAUGCAAGGGUGGGUUUAUUUUAUGAAAUUUCAACAUGUCCUCAUCUUUUGGAUUGUGCACUUUUGGGAUUGAAUGAGUCUCAACAAAUAUUGAUAGUGGUUAUCUCAUUGCUGGGUUUGCAGAAUUCUUUUCUUCUUAUACUUCAUUUAUUGCUUGAAUCUUACUAUGAGCAUACAUUGUCUUUUCACAAAAUAUAUAUUAUCCAUCUCACAAUUUAUGACAUUGUUUUUCUUGAAGUUUAUCUAUAAAAUCAAGAUGUUGGCUGUUUGCUUGAAGACCCUUCCACAUGUAUUCAAUUAAUCAAAAUUAGGAGUUCUAGUGUACACCCCUAGUGAAUAGAUUGCCAUUAGUUGGUUAAUGUAUCAGCAAUGAUAUAUAGUGUAUGUUUACAGACAUUUUGUCUUUUGAUUUCAGUUAAUGAACACAAAUGAGAAACAAUCAUGGGAGUAUAUAUGGAAAAAUUAAAAGUGAUGCUUUUGUAUAAUGACACUUUCUAUGAAUUGAGGAUAUAAUCUAACUGAUCAUAUAUACUUGCUUCUGAUGUAUGGACAAAAGUAUUUUUCAGUGACAUUGUCUUUACAAUAAGGAAUAUCAAAUAAGUAUUACUUCAUACAAUAAGUGCUUGAAAUAUAGUUGUGAAAAAGUAAGCAGUGGAUGGUAUGGAUAUAUCUAUAAUUUUAACAACAUUCUACAGAAACAACAGUGUGGGCAGGAAACUGCAAAAAAAAUUUUAGAAGAUUCAUGUUGAAACUAGACUAAUAUUUAAACAGUUUUAAAUAAACAAGGAAGUCAACAAACUGUUUAUAGAGUCAAAUAAUAGUUUUGGCUUUGUGGAUCAGUCUAUGUGACAACUAAUAACUUCAAUAUUUGUAGCACAAAAUCAGCCACAGAUGAUACAGAGACAUGUAAACAAAUGCGAAAGUUUGUGUCACAAUAAACUUUAACAAAAGAACAGGUGACAGACAAGAUUUGGUCCACAGGCCCCCGUUUUCAAAUUCCUAAAAUAGAUUACUAUGGGACUUAGAUUCUGAGCUUUUUUGAUUCUGAUAUGAAAGAGUCAUUUAUAUUAUGAAUUUUAAAUUCAUCACACAAUUCUUUUGAAUCUAUGAACCUAUUUAAGUAUUUUCAUUUCAAUAAAAAUUUCCUAACUUUGAGUGUUUUCCCCCAUGUUUAACUGAUAACUCAAGAUUCUGUGGCUUAAUUAACAUGGAAUUUUUUUCUUCCAGCUAAUCAGGAAAACAAAAUCAGUUUUGUGCCAUUUUGUAUAUGCCAUUGAUAUUUACUAAAUGGAUAAUUAAACUAUGUAGACAAAUAUUUUGGCAAAAAUUUAUGAUGAAUUUAAAAAUGAAUAAUUUUAC